RNAcentral lists this ribosomal RNA (491 nucleotides) under Actinomyces sp. 'ARUP UnID 59'. RNAcentral's name for it is "bacterial SSU rRNA". It matches the Rfam family "Bacterial small subunit ribosomal RNA", at positions 27 to 506 of the family's 1533-position model. The record is from RNAcentral. Lineage: Bacteria; Bacillati; Actinomycetota; Actinomycetes; Actinomycetales; Actinomycetaceae.
GGACGAACGCUGGCGGCGUGCUUAACACAUGCAAGUCGAACGGUGAAGGGACCGGYUUUUGCUGGUUCUGGAUGAGUGGCGAACGGGUGAGUAACACGUGAGUAACCUGCCCCCUUCUUCUGGAUAACCGCAUGAAAGUGUGGCUAAUACGGGAUAUUCUGCGCCUGCUGCAUGGUGGGUGUGGGAAAGAUAUUGUUUCGGUGGGGGAUGGGCUCGCGGCCUAUCAGCUUGUUGGUGGGGUGAUGGCCUACCAAGGCGGUGACGGGUAGCCGGCCUGAGAGGGUGGACGGUCACACUGGGACUGAGACACGGCCCAGACUCCUACGGGAGGCAGCAGUGGGGAAUAUUGCACAAUGGGCGCAAGCCUGAUGCAGCGACGCCGCGUGAGGGAUGGAGGCCUUCGGGUUGUAAACCUCUUUCGCCAGUGAAGCAGGCCUGYYCCUUGUGGGUGGGUUGACGGUAGCUGGAUAAGAAGCGCCGGCUAACUACGU